UGGUAGAUGCACCCUGGUUGAAGCUCCGGAUUUUUAAAUCUGGGGCAUUUUUUU
Limnoraphis robusta CS-951 is the source of this 54-nucleotide small RNA. It matches the Rfam family "Nitrogen stress-induced RNA 1". NCBI's taxonomy places the organism in Bacteria, Bacillati, Cyanobacteriota, Cyanophyceae, Oscillatoriales, Sirenicapillariaceae. The record is from Rfam.